Molecule: transfer RNA, 72 nt
Organism: Aspergillus bombycis
Lineage: Eukaryota; Fungi; Ascomycota; Eurotiomycetes; Eurotiales; Aspergillaceae
Rfam family: tRNA
About the family: Transfer RNA (tRNA) molecules are approximately 80 nucleotides in length. Their secondary structure includes four short double-helical elements and three loops (D, anti-codon, and T loops).
Source: Rfam
GGGCUUGUGGUUUAGUGGUAUAACGCUCCAUUCGCAUUGGAGAGGUCCCGGUUUCGAUUACCGGCGAGUCCA